AAAAAGUUAACAAAAAACUGUGAACUUCCUUCUGACUAACAAACAUUGAGGCUGACAGAUGCAGUACCGUACAAUACAUCAUGAUUGUACCUCGUUAGAAUCAGUUGAUAUUCUGAGGAACUGGGCCUCUUUUGACACCCAAUGGCUAUCUAGUUUCAGUUGACAGCAUCCUCGCUGGCCAAGGAGAGAUCAGGGACUUCAUCCAGACCAAAUGGCACCUUAUAAAGUCUCUCUGUGGAGUCCUUCUGUCAUUGGUAUUCUGUGGGAGAGCUGCUCGACCGCAGGGAGGAUAUGGUGGGCUGUGUACGAUACGCUGUGCGUUCACUGCUGAUGAGUUGAUGAUGGUCACAGAGUUAAACAGAGUGUGAAAACACCAUCUCCCCUGGACGGACGUGACGGCCAUCUUAACUUGUCCAGCACAGCACAGGUAGUAGAGUCAAUGGGGAAAUUGCUGGAGACCUACUGUGGCCUUUCUCUCAGUUGCACACUGACAGUAUGAUCCCAUGUUUUCUAGUGGUCUUUAGUUGUAGGCGUAAGCCGACAUAUUACAUAAAGUAUUAACCAAGCAGCAUUUGUCAUUAUAACUUGUUGUUUCAUGCCUAUGAAGUCUCUGUGUGUGAGUGUGGAAAGAAUACUAACAGGAUAAGGUUGAUUUAUAAGAUACAUGGUCGUGUUCCCUAAAAGCAGCUUUUCCAUCAUCAUCACUCCUCAUCUUCACUGGGGCUCUGAAUAGACCAGCCACACGUGUUGAGCUUGUGAUUAACGGCACAAUGGGCUGUUUGUUGCUGCCUCUCUCUCUCCACCUGGGCCUCUGUAGAUGGAAUCAUCCCUGGCAGCACUCAUGACCAGCUUGAAUCAUCCCUUCUGUUUGGGUCUG
This 877-nucleotide long non-coding RNA is filed under the name Salmo trutta (river trout). Its description in RNAcentral is "lncRNA (ENSSTUG00000014945.1)". The record is from RNAcentral. Lineage: Eukaryota; Metazoa; Chordata; Actinopteri; Salmoniformes; Salmonidae.